UACGGAGGGUGCAAGCGUUAAUCGGAAUUACUGGGCGUAAAGCGCACGCAGGUGGCUGAGUCAGUCGAUUGUGAAAGCCCUGGGCUUAACCUGGGAAUUGCAGUCGAUACUACUCAGCUAGAGUAUGGGAGAGGGUAGUGGAAUUCCCGGUGUAGCGGUGAAAUGCGUAGAUAUCCGGAGGAACACCAGAGGCGAAGGCGGCCGACUGGACCUGACCUGACGCUGAGGCGCGAAGGCGUGGGGAGCGAACGGG
RNAcentral lists this ribosomal RNA (253 nucleotides) under uncultured bacterium. RNAcentral describes it as "partial 16S ribosomal RNA". It matches the Rfam family "Bacterial small subunit ribosomal RNA", at positions 524 to 776 of the family's 1533-position model. The record is from RNAcentral.